UUCAAGUUACAGCUUAAAUAUUUUUAUAUUGUGUAUCCAAUAACAGAUUAUUAUAGUUGUGAUAUUUUUCACUACCUUUGCUUUUUAACUUUUAAAUUCGAUUGGUAUGUGAAUUACACACAGCUUUACUGUAUCACAGACUCUCUGACCAUAUAUUAACCAUUCCCAGUGAGUCUCAUGCUACCUUCUUAUGUUUUAAUAAUGUUAACUAGAGUCCUUUUGCUGCCAUUAAAGAACUCCUUGUAACAUUUCUUGUAAGGCAGGUGGCCUGGUAAUAACUCCCUCAGCUGUUGUGCAUUUGGGGCAGUCUGUCUCUCCAUUUCUGAAAGACAGCUUUGCCAGAUACAGAAUUCUUGGUUGACAAUUUCUUUUUCUUCCAGUAUUUUGAAUCUAUCAUCCUAUUCUCUCCUGACUUGAAAACGUUUUGUUGAAAUAUCCACUUAUAGUGUUAUAGGGUUCCUUUUUAAGUAUGUGCGGGGGCUACUGGCUUUGUUCUGCAGACCAUCAACUCCUCCUGCCAGACCCUGGCCUCCAGCCUCGCUGAGCCACACAGUCCCACAGCUGUUACCACUCAGGUUUUCUGAUCCACUGGGCCCCAGAGCUCCUCUCGAAAGUGGGUGGGACUGUGAAUUAGCCUCCCAGCUUGAGCAGGAGAGGGCCAGACUCGGUUCCAGGGCCCCAGCAGGGCUCCUCUUUUUGAGGGCCUCCUUCAGGCAGAUCUGCACCCCUCCGAGUUCCCUGGUCAUAUUGUUGGUAUCCUGGCUCUGCAGAUGAGUAAAGCUGCUGGCUGAGAUGACAAUUCCUAGGACGCUGAAGGACACAGCAAGAAAGCAACCAUCUGCAAGCCAGGGAGAGGGCUCUUGCUAGAACCCAACCAUGCUGGCACCCUGAUCUCGGACUUCCAGCCUCCCAAAGUGUUUGUUCCUUGGAUAGAUGUGUGUGUCCACCAGCACUCUCAGGAUCCAGGACUUCACUCCUCCACCUUCAUAAAGCAGUUCUCUCAUGCUAUUUGUCUUUUGUUUGAUUUUAUUGAAGUAUAGUUGAUUUACAAUGUUGCGUUAAUUUCUGCUGUACAGCAAAAUGACUCCCUUAUACAUAUAUAUACACUCUUUUUCAUAUUUUUUUCCAUUAUGGUUUACCCCAGGAUAUUGAAUGUAGUUCUCUGUGCUACACGGUAGAACCUUGUUGUAUAUCCGUUCUGUGUACAGUUGUUCACAUCUGCCAACUCCAACCUCCUGCUCUAUCCCUCCCCCUCCCUCUUGGCAACCUCACAUCUAAUUCUCUGUGUCUGUGAGUUAGUUUCUCUUUCAUAGAUAAGUUCGUUUGUGCCAUAUUUUAGAUUCCAUAUAAAAGUGAUAUCAUAUCAUAUUUGUCUUUCUCUUUCUGACUGACUUAUUAUGACAGUCUUUGGGUUCAUCCAUGUUGCAGCAAAAGGCGUCAUUUCCUUCUUGUUUAUGUGAGUAGUAUUCCAUGAUAUAUUUGCUCCCCGUCUUCUCUAUCCAUUCAUCAGUCGAUGGACACAGGUUGUUUCCAUGUCUUGGCUGCUGUGAAUAGUGUUGCUAUGAACUUAGGGGUGCAUGAAUCUUUUCAAAUUAUAAUUUUGUCUGGGUACAUGUCCAGGAGUGGGGUCACUGGAUCAGACUCUCAUGCUAUUUCUUAAUCUUAACCCCUGCCCCAGGAAACCACUGAUCCAUUCUCCAUCUCCUUAGUCUUGUCAUUCUGAGAAUGUUGUACAGGUGAAAUCAGAUAGCACACAACCUUCUGAAAUCUACUGUCUUAAUUCUGCAUGGCUGCCCCUGAGGUCUGUGCAGGUUGCUAUGUGGAUCAAUCAGUUUUUCCUUUUUGUGACUGAGUAAUAUUCCAGGUACUGGUUGGCUAACAUUUGUUCAGCCCACUCAUUCACUGAAGGACGUUUGGUCUCCAGUAUUUUGCUCUUAUGAAUGGAGCUGUUAUGAAUAUUUGUGUACACUUUUUUGCAUGAACAUAUGUUUUCAUUUCUCUGGGAUAAACGCCCAGGAAUGCCUUCAUUGAGUUCUAUGGCAGUUACAUGUUUGGUCUUUAAAGAAACUGCCAAUCUGUGAUCCACAGUGACUCUACCAUUUUUUCUCUCCUCUGGCAACAUGCGAGAGAUCCAGGUUUUUGCACAGCCUCUCCAACAUC
Molecule: long non-coding RNA, 2160 nt
Organism: Bos taurus (domestic cattle)
Lineage: Eukaryota; Metazoa; Chordata; Mammalia; Artiodactyla; Bovidae
Source: Ensembl